Molecule: long non-coding RNA, 1886 nt
Organism: Mauremys reevesii (Reeves's turtle)
Lineage: Eukaryota; Metazoa; Chordata; Testudines; Geoemydidae
Exons: 6
Source: RefSeq, a predicted model, not a curated record
CCCACCCCACUUCCGUGAGUGACCACAGAUUAACCCCUCCUCCUUCAUAGAGACCCGGCCCCCUUCCAGGAGCAAGAGUGGUCUAGCGUCGCUCCAAGGUAGAUUGGAUUCCAACAGAGGGAAAGUGACACCCUAUUCCAAAUGAUGGCCCUACUGGACAGCAGGGAAGUCUAAGCUACACUGUCAGCUUCAUCUGAGUUAACCAGCAUCUGAAUGGGACUUUUCAAUCCUGUUAAGGUGGAGAAUGUCUGACAAUCCCAUUAGAAGACCCCAGCUUACAGAUAAAGUUAACUGAUGGAAGAUUAUAUUGCUGGUUUCACUGGGAGUCUCCUAUAGACUUCCUCGGCUCAGAGACAACCAUGCUACAGCAAGUGUAAUAGGACAGGAGGAGGGAAAGAGAUGGACAAUGGAACUUCAAAGCACAAUAGCAACCCCUGAAAAAUGCUUCAUUACGGUGGAAGGCAGUACUCGGGAAGGAGAAGGAAUGGAGACUUAAAAGAUCAAACCACAACCACCACAUUCUUUUGAAGAGCUACCCUAUUUACAGAGAAGUGUAAAUCUAAAACAUAAGGAAAUAUUUGUUCGCCAUCUUUAACUUUUGAUUUAAACAGCAGGAUAGGAGAUUAAGGUGUAAUACAAAGAUCUGUGCACAUGCAUAUAAACAAACAGGUUUAAAAAUAGGUCUCUUUCUCUAAACGGAACAGAGUAAGGGAUGUUUUCCUAAUAGCUUUUCAAAAUGGGGUCCCCAUCAAGUAUCAAACUACAAGCUAUGAUACUCCACACAAAUGUACCAUGAAACCAAUGAGACACCUGAGAUACAUGGAUAAUAUUUUUGUGCUCUGGACAGAUGACAAACUCCCUCAAAUUUCCACCACAACUUCAACCACUACCACCCACCCAUUAAACUCUCUCUGGAACACUCCCAUGCUAGCAUCAAGUUGGACAACACAAUGAGCUUCAACAAUGGAACCAUACAGACAGCUAUAUACAAGAAACCCUCAGACCACCAGAUGUACCUUCAUAGAUCCAGUAACCAACCCAAACAUACCAAGAAAUCUGUUAUCUACACCCAGGCACUCAGAUACCACAGAAUAUGCUUUGAGGAGAAAGUCCGGGGAAUAUAUCUUAAUACACUCAAAGCCACCUUUACCAAACAAGGACACUCCACUGAAAUACCCCAAGACAACCUGCUUCAAUUCAGAAAUAAAACCCCCUCCAAAUGCACACCUGUAGCUGUCAUCUUCCACCCCACACUUGAAUCCAUACAGGGAAAUCAAACAGAUCAAAUAUAUGAUGGGAAUCCCAUCCUGGGGGGAAAAAAAAAAACAACAAAAACAAAAACAAACCACCCCACACUUUCCUAAACCUCCUCUUCUGGCCUUCAAACAAUGCCCCAACCUCAUCAGACGCAAGCUCCCACAGACCAGGACACAUCAUCUCAAAGCUGCACCAGGCCCUGCCAGAACAGAAACAAAACCUGCAGACAUCUUCACUGCUACAAUAAUCAACACCACCCCCAACACAUCUUUCAAGAUCCAUGGGUCCUAAACAUGCCUAUCACAACAUGGCACACCUCAUCUAGUGAACUAAAUGCCCCAACAACAACUAUUUGGGUGAAACCAAACAAUCACUGUGAUCUCAAAUGAACUAUCACAAGAAAUGAUAAAAGACAAAAAACCUGUGGGUGAACAAUUCACAAAUUGAUCAUCCUAUAAGUCCUCAUCCUGAAUGGAAAGCCUGCAUAACACUUUCAAAAAACAAGCCUGGGAGCUUAAAUUCAUAACUUUGCUAGACACUAUGGUCUUAAGACAGCAGAUGUAUGGCUUCUUACGAUAACCUGUAACCAGUUACCCCUUCUUUUUGUCCUAUGACUACAGGGGUGUUAA